CUGGUAUUGAUAAUUGUUGAAAAAAUGGUGAUUAAUAAUAUGAUAGCUGCUAAUUCAUUUUAUAUUUUUUUAGGUCUAUUUAUUUUUUACAUUCAAUGGCCUAUUUCUUCUGGCCCUCAUACUUUUUAUGUAUUUAAUCCAUAUUCUAAUUGUGUUCUCGCCCAUACUUAAGUUAUCAUGUCUUUCCAUUUUGGAUGUAACGGUUUAUUUAGUGGUAUAUAUUUAGUUGAUGUCUUCUUAGUUGAUACAAUUAUAGUGAAAUGUUCAUUCAAUGUUUUUGCUCUGUCAUGGUCGUUUUCUAUUGGUACUAAGACCUGCUUUAGUCUUUAGUGGUAUACUUUGCGAGUGUUCUUUUUCUAUCUGACCUGGCCCUGCUAAGUGAGCUUUUCUCGUCACUUGGCGUUCGUCGUCCGAUUUCGUCUUUGUUAACUUUUACUAAACUUCUCAGUCUCUGAAACUACUGGGCCAAAUUUUAUUGAACAUAUGUCUUUUAGGGAGUCGCUUGAUAGUUUUGGUUAAACUUUACAACAAUUACCAUUGGUGUAUCUAAUUUAAUAACUGUGUUGGAUAACCCUGCCUGUCUGCCAAGUUAGCCGACAUGGCUUUAAUUAAAACAUAGGGACAAAAUGCAAGUGUUUUCUAUAAAGAAACGUUAUGAAUAACGAAAACCUGAUGUGAAAAACAUGUCUAAUCUGACAUCGGACUCGGACUUAUUUUCAAAUGAGUUUAACUGUGUGUAUGCUUCAUAUGUGUUUCUUUAUUCUACAUUGGCUAGAGGUAUAGGGGGAGAGUUGGGAUCUCCCAAAACAUGAUUAACCUCGCCGCAUUUUAGCGCCUGUCCUAAGUCAGGAACCUCUGGCCUUUGUUAGUCUUGUAUAUUUUUUUUAAUUUAGUCUCGAACUGAUACACAAUUUUAUUUAGGGGCCAGCUGAUAACACCUCCG
This 943-nucleotide long non-coding RNA is filed under the name Mytilus galloprovincialis (Mediterranean mussel). Lineage: Eukaryota; Metazoa; Mollusca; Bivalvia; Mytilida; Mytilidae. The record is from RNAcentral.